Molecule: long non-coding RNA, 3636 nt
Organism: Arachis stenosperma
Lineage: Eukaryota; Viridiplantae; Streptophyta; Magnoliopsida; Fabales; Fabaceae
Exons: 2
Source: RefSeq, a predicted model, not a curated record
UUUUCUGUCCGUGUGUACGAACCUUUGUGCAUACGCACUCCCAAUUCGCCCUCCUCUGUUGAGUGCACCCGCACCCUAUGUGCAUCCGCAUUCCCUAAAUGCAACCCUUUCAUCUUCCCUUCUCUUGUCUUUUCCUUUCUUUUCUGUAUUCUCUGAGCCAACCCAUUCACCAUCAAUAAGCUUCAUCAUCCUCAUCCAUCUCUGUCUCGGACCAUUGCACCACCACCGGCGAUUGCCGCAGCCACUGUGCCCUUUCGCCUUUUUUCUUCCCCUUCUCUUCUUUAUCUUCCUCUGCGCCUCUACCAUCUCUCCCCGCGAUCACCAAACCGACCCCGUGCCACCGCUACUGCUGCGGCGAGCUCUCCACCCCCGUCUGAACCCUAACCCCUCCGUCCGUGUCAUUCAUCCUCACCUCCGCGUCACCAGCAUCACAGCCCAGGACCACCGUCGCCUUCCGUUUUCGCCGCCGACCACAACCCACACCGCCGCACCCCUUUCUUUUCUUCUUCCCCUCUUCUCACCUCAGCCAAGCCCAUACCCGCGACCCUCCUCUUUGCAGUACCCAAGCUUCACCCUGAACCAGCCUCCAGUCAUCGCGACAUUACCCUUCUCGCAACCUUCCCUUCCUCGCCGAACCUGUCUCCGCCUUCACACAGGAGCUCCAACCCCAGCUCCAUUCUCCAUAUUCUGUUUUGAAGGCCAGAACAAGGACUCCUAUCUCCCCUGUUUCUCUCUACUGCCUGGGACACACAGAAUAGGGCAAGCCCUUGUUUCCAUUAAGCUGCGUCCUGACCGCUGCCGCUUCUGCCUGCCCCACUGUUGAAGCCGCCACCUCUGGGCCGGCAUCCUUCUGCUUCUGACCCCCCCUGUUGCUCCAUCCCUCCACCUCUGCUGCUGUACAACCCUUGCUUCCCCUGUUUUUGCAUUUUUCUUUUCUGUUCUUCAAACAGCACCACCAUCGUUCUUGCAGCCAUUCUUUCACCCAAGACCCACCAGCAGAUGGAAGAGCCGAUGUAGUGAGGACUACUUCUACUCCGCCUGAUUUUGAGCACCGAGGACGGUGCUACAUCUUAAGUGUGGGGAGGUUGUCCAACUUCAGCAGCGCAUUUUGGGUGAAAAACUCCAUUUCCGAGCACUUUUAGUUUAGUUUAUUAUUAUGCUUUUUAGUUGUUUUGUAUAUAUUUUAUCCUUUUGAGAAACUUUUUACUUAGUUUAUUGCACUUUCUUAGUUUAUUGCACUUUUCAAUUUUGCUUGUAUAUAACCUAGUAUUAUGUUGUAGUAAAGCAUGUUUUUAGAUUUCCUUUUUUUAGCUUUUAGUUGUGAUUGUGAUUUGGGAUGAUAUGAUGAUUGCACCUAUGUUUGGUUUCUUAUAUACUUGCUAUUUUGGUUUGAUUGAAAUUAGGAAUUAAACUUAGGAUUUCUGACUUUUUCCAUCCAAUCACACUAUAUACAUAUAUAGAAUAAAUGUUAGCCAAUUUAAUGAAAUUUCUAAGAAACUUACUCUUUAUAUAGGGCAUUAAAAUUCAAAUUGAAUUGAGUUGAAAUUAUUUGAAACUUGCAUGAUUUUACAUUGUGGAAUAUGGUUUUUGAGUUAAAGAACAUACAACUUGUGAGCUUUUGAGUUUUAUUGUAUGGUAUAUCAUUUGACCACUUAUUUCAUUCUUAUGUGUUACUCUUCUCUAUGAUUGCAAUCUUUGAUUGCAAUCUUUGGUUUGUUUAAUUCUAUAUAUCCAAUAUUUAAUGUAUAUUUAUACAAUUAUGUGAUUGAGGCCAUUACUUCAUUAUAGCUCAUUUAACCCAAAAAGCCUACCAUUUUAUUUACCUUUGUUUAUGACUUUAAACCUUUUAAUUCCCUUUUGUUCUUGAUUGAGCACACCACUAGCUAUAAGUGGAAAAACAAUGAAUGUCCCUAUUUUGAAUCUUUGAAUAGCUCAAGUUAGUGAGAGUGUGUAGUGUUUAAGUGUGGGAAAAAUGUGGGAACUUGAGUUGAUGAAAAUGUGUUUUAUUCUUGUUGAAAAAUUUUGGAAAUUUGGGGUGCAUACUCAUGUAAUAUUAUAGAAACCAUAUGCAUCGAUGAGUUGGUAUAUAUAUUAUGUUCUCGAAAAAAAAGAAGAAAAAAAGAAAAAGAAAAAGAAAUAAUGAAAAGAAGACAAAAUUACCCCAAUGUGAAAUCUAAUAAAAAUCAAUGCAUAUGUGAUUGAAUUUGAUGCAUGAGUGUGUGUAUAUGUAAAAGUGAGAUUAUGGGUAGUUAAGCUUGAUAUUAGAAUUGUAUAGGUUGUGUAUGUCUUAGGUGAAAACUUAGGUUAAUUAAAGAUUCAAAUGUAAAAACCACCUAGCCAUAUAUAUAUCCUUACCUUUGCCCUUAGCUCCAUUACAACUUUGAAAAGACAUCAUGAUUUUUGCAUAUGUACAUUAAAUUUGUGUUGAUUGGUUAGAUGAAGAACACACUUUAGAAAGCAUGAUUAGAGAAGAAUUGAGUAGAUUGACCCUAAAUACUUGAGUGAUUAGAGUGCAUAUACAUAUCCAGUGAGUGUUCAAUCACUCAAUUCCAUAUUUCCACCUUUGAUCAUUGUUAUCUUGCAAGUUUGUUAAAUUCUUUUAUAUGACUCAAUUCAAUUGUGAAUGUGAUUUGGUUAUGAUUGCCUUAGCCCUUGAUUGUGUAUGGAUAUUUUCUUGGAAAUUGAUUUACUUGGACUAAUUAAAUACAUGUAACUAGUUAGAUAGUAUAGUUACAUACAUAUAGGUAGAUUGCAUAUAGUUAGUUACAUUGAAUAAUUGUUGAUUCCCCUUCUUAUCUUCUUUUGGUAUAGCAUGAGGACAUGCUAUUGUUUAAGUGUGGGGAUGUGAUGAAUCUACAUUUCACGGUAUUUAUUUGCUUUAAUUAGGUGGAUUUCAUUGACUUUUCUUACAUUUAUUCAUUGAAAUAACAUGUUUUUAUGAAUUCUUUCCUAAUUGUGCUUAAUUGUGAAAAACAUGCUUUUUAUGCUUAAAUUUUCAAUUUUAAUUCACUUUUCUCCCAUUUGAUGCCUUGAUAUAUUUUUCUGAGUGAUUUAAGGUUUUGAGGGCAAGAAUGGCUUGAGAAAGUGGAACGAAAGCAUAUAAAGUGGAAGAAUUCAAGAAAUGAAGGAUUUGUAAAGCUGUCUACUUGACCUCUCGGUACUAAAGUGAUCAAAACUUGAGCUACAGAGGUCCAAAUGAGGUGGUUUUAGCGGCAUUGGAAAGCUAACGUCCGGGACUUCAAAAUGAUAUACAAUUUACUAUAGUGGACAUAAGUCUAAGUGUGCGUACGCACACAAUUUGUGCGUAUGCACAAGUCGGAAUUCAGCAUGUGUGCGUAUGCGCAAGUCCUGGCACGUGAUGUCAUUAAUUCCAACUCGCUGGCAGUGAUUUCUGGGCCCCCAAAACCCAAUCUAACUCAUUUAUGAAGCUAUUUCAAGCCAAAUUGAAGAAGGAUGAAGGGGGGCAAUUAGGUUUAGCUUUUACAUGUUUUUCUCUUAGUUUCUAGAGAGAGAAGCUCCCUCCUACCUCUAGAAUUAGGGUUUCUUAGUUUAAUUUCUUGUAAUUUCUACUUAAAUUCUUGUUUCCAUUUACUUUUCCUUGUCAUUUAUUGAUAUUGCAUCUUUGUUUUUUCCUUU